UAGAUCAAGAAUAUAGUUUGAAUAGCAGUGUUAUCCAUCGUUUUCAGAUGCUGAGAACAGUGAAUGAUGUCAUCGACACUGCUGUUGACAGUGCGAUGCAACAAUAGGCACUUGCAUUCUAAAAGUCUUCCCUGCACACUCAGCUCCCUCAGAUGCGCAUGGAUGGAGAUAUAGAUGUUGCUUGCUACCUGGCCGUAUAUCGGGGUUCCAGUUGGUGUAUGUGAAGGUUGCUUCCUCUAUAGGAUGAAGAACUGGUGGCCUCAAACAACUACAGGAAAUCAACAUGGAUCACCCAAGCGAAGGACAGCCUCUUACUGCCAACAUCUCUUACUCUUAGUCUUAGUUACAAUGAAGGAAAGCAAACAUCACUAGCCUUAUAAGUUUGGAGCAUACAGAAAUAAUGAAAUAAUCAUGUGAAAAUUUAAAAAGUACAACUGCAUUCUAAAACAUUCCACAUGUAAUCAAUCAACCUCUUAGUGCCCAGAGGGAAGGGCUAUUCUUCAGACAUGGUUCCCCAGAGGUUUCCCCCAAUAAAUUGGGGUUUUUCCUUUCCUGCGUGCUGAAGAAUGACUCUUUGUGAGUCCAGAGGUGACAAUUUGUUUAAAAACCUUUGAGGUAAAUAUGUAUCUUUUGCUUCUGUCUGCAGAUGUUGAUUUAAUAAUAAAGUUGGUUUAGUCUAUU
Spea bombifrons (plains spadefoot toad) is the source of this 681-nucleotide long non-coding RNA. RefSeq lists it as uncharacterized. Lineage: Eukaryota; Metazoa; Chordata; Amphibia; Anura; Pelobatidae. The transcript has 2 exons. The record is from RefSeq and is a predicted model, not a curated record.